CAGGUAGCUGGGUCCAGGGGUAGGAUUGAGCAUGUGUGCUGGAGCGCAAGCAGCCUGGAAUGUGUGGCCAGGCCAUGUCUUUUGUCACCAGACCUGAGUUUAUCGUAGGGAAUAAAACGCCCAUUACUGGGAUUUAGAGGAUGUUUUCAAGGGCAGGUGAAUGAUCUGUGCGUCCUCAGACAAACUAUUGAUUGGAUAACAUGUCAGCCCCUCAUCCAAAGAAGUGUUUGUCAUUAUGUUGAUGUUCAUCAUUGCCAGUUAGUGUCCCCUGCCAUGUUCCUUCAUCCCAGGCCUUCACACAGGCAGGCAACACUACUAUAUCUGUGGAAAGGAGAGGCCCUACAUCCUUAGUCUCCUAACGACCCUUCACCCCUCUGGAUGAGCAAAGUCACACAUCUCUUAACUGAGACUAUGUCUGCAUUUUUACACCCAUUUUCCACUGUGUUCUUCUAAUGCGACGCUAAGCAAGAUGUGCUGAGGAGAACAGUGUUGUUUGGGAGGAGGAGGGGGGUUAGCUGUCAAGAUUCAGCCCCACACUGGGCCUACGCCAUACUGUGCUCAUUUUGACAAUGAUGAGUGCAUCAAUUUGUUUUUUGUUUCCAUCUUCCUUUAAGCUGUUGGCAUUUCACUGCUUGUGUGUAUUCACUUUUCAGAGCUGCUUUUUUCAAGCAGGCAUAAUUUAAAUCUUCUGUGUUUUAUAUAAAACGAAGCACAGUUCUUCUGUUACAUCUAGAAAGGGGUUUUCUGCCAUGUAGA
RNAcentral lists this long non-coding RNA (756 nucleotides) under Salmo salar (Atlantic salmon). RNAcentral describes it as "lncRNA (ENSSSAG00000095296.1)". Lineage: Eukaryota; Metazoa; Chordata; Actinopteri; Salmoniformes; Salmonidae. The record is from RNAcentral.